UCCGGUGGCUAUAGCGGAGGGGAAACACCUCUUCCCAUUCCGAACAGGGCAGUUAAGCCCUCCUGCGCCGAUGGUACUGCUGGGGUCACCUGGUGGGAGAGUAGGACGCCGCCGGAU
This 117-nucleotide ribosomal RNA is filed under the name Candidatus Latescibacterota bacterium. The record is from RNAcentral. Lineage: Bacteria; Pseudomonadati; Candidatus Latescibacterota.